Molecule: ribosomal RNA, 332 nt
Filed under: uncultured Bacillota bacterium
Lineage: Bacteria; Bacillati; Bacillota
Description: bacterial SSU rRNA
Rfam family: Bacterial small subunit ribosomal RNA
Source: RNAcentral
GACGAACGCUGGCGGCGUGCCUAACACAUGCAAGUCGAGCGGAGAUAAGCGGAUGGUAACUGAAGCUUAUCUUAGCGGCGGACGGGUGAGUAACACGUGGGCAACCUGCCUCAAAGUGGGGGAUAACACCGAGAAAUCGGUGCUAAUACCGCAUAACAUACAGACACCACCUGGUGACUGUAUCAAAGGAGAAAUCCGCUUUGAGAUGGGCCCGCGGCUGAUUAGCUAGUUGGUGAGGUAAUGGCUCACCAAGGCGACGAUCAGUAGCCGACCUGAGAGGGUGACCGGCCACACUGGAACUGAGACACGGUCCAGACACCUACGGGAGGCUG